UUUUUUCAAAAAAAGUGCUUACGCGUUUGAUAACCACCACGCUCGUAAUAAAAGGCGGUGCGUUCUGGUAAGAAAUCAUCUCUUCAUUUAGAAGGCAACAAAAUGAAUAAGUCAGCGCUUCUCCUCUUGCAUGUCAUCGGACUCCUUGUCUCUAUGGAAACUGCCGUGGUACAUGGAUUCUGGAGAGCCCGCCCUACACCACCACCAGAGACGCGUCGCCGAUGGGGAGGGUGGAACCAACAGCAGAAUGUCCCAGACUUAGUGGACGAGUUAAGCGAUCUGGAAAUGAUAUUGGACAAUUAGAUGAUCUAAAAUGCCUAAUGUUGGUUGCAAACAAUAAUAAACCAUCAUGCAUUUUAA
Molecule: non-coding RNA, 360 nt
Organism: Ciona intestinalis (vase tunicate)
Lineage: Eukaryota; Metazoa; Chordata; Ascidiacea; Phlebobranchia; Cionidae
Source: RefSeq, a predicted model, not a curated record